RNAcentral lists this ribosomal RNA (111 nucleotides) under uncultured bacterium. Its description in RNAcentral is "partial 16S ribosomal RNA". The record is from RNAcentral.
CCCGUUGUACACACCGCCCGUCACCACCAUGGGAGUUGGUUUUACCUGGUAAGACGGUGCGCUAACCCGCAAGGGAGGCAGCCGGCCACGGUAGGGUCAGCGACUGGGGUG